GACGUAGGGGGCCAGCGUUGUUCGGAAUUACUGGGUGUAAAGGGUUCGUAGGCGGUGCGGCAAGUUGGGAGUGAAAUCGUCAUGGGCUUAACCCAGAGGCUGCUUCCAAAACUGCUGUGCUUGAGUGUGGGAGAGGACGCGUGGAAUUGCAGGUGUAGCGGUGAAAUGCGUAGAUAUCGCAGGAACACCCGUGGCGAAAGCGGCGCCGCUGGACCACUACUGACGCUGAGGAACGAAAGCUAGGGGAGCAAACAGG
RNAcentral lists this ribosomal RNA (256 nucleotides) under uncultured bacterium. Its description in RNAcentral is "partial 16S ribosomal RNA". It matches the Rfam family "Bacterial small subunit ribosomal RNA", at positions 524 to 776 of the family's 1533-position model. The record is from RNAcentral.